AGUGAACGCUGGCGGUAGGCCUAACACAUGCAAGUCGAACGGCAGCACAGUAAGAGCUUGCUCUUACGGGUGGCGAGUGGCGGACGGGUGCGGAAUACAUCGGAAUCUACUUUUUCGUGGGGGAUAACGUAGGGAAACUUACGCUAAUACCGCAUACGACCUACGGGUGAAAGCAGGGGAUCUUCGGACCUCGCGCGAUUGAAUGAGCCGAUGUCGGAUUAGCUAGUUGGCGGGGUAAAGGCCCACCAAGGCGACGAUCCGUAGCUGGUCUGAGAGGAUGAUCAGCCACACUGGAACUGAGACACGGUCCAGACUCCUACGGGAGGCAGCAGUGGGGAAUAUUGGACAAUGGGCGCAAGCCUGAUCCAGCCAUACCGCGUGGGUGAAGAAGGCCUUCGGGUUGUAAAGCCCUUUUGUUGGGAAAGAAAAGCAGCAGGUUAAUACCCCGCUGUUCUGACGGUACCCAAAGAAUAAGCACCGGCUAACUUCGUG
RNAcentral lists this ribosomal RNA (492 nucleotides) under uncultured bacterium. RNAcentral describes it as "partial 16S ribosomal RNA". It matches the Rfam family "Bacterial small subunit ribosomal RNA", at positions 29 to 507 of the family's 1533-position model. The record is from RNAcentral.